Long non-coding RNA from Gadus chalcogrammus (walleye pollock), 309 nucleotides. RefSeq lists it as uncharacterized. The record is from RefSeq and is a predicted model, not a curated record. The transcript has 3 exons. Lineage: Eukaryota; Metazoa; Chordata; Actinopteri; Gadiformes; Gadidae.
GCAUCACCAUCAAUACAUGAUUCUUCAGCUGAUUGCCAGGAUGAGGAGUUUGUGGAAGAGGAAGUUUCUGUUGCACCCCUAGAUAAAUGCAGAAUUUAAGCGCAUUACCACCAUGCCCCUGCAAUCCAGAUUUCUGACACAGCUGGAUGUAAGAUCUGACAAACUUCUAAAGCUGUUCGAAAAACGAGGAGGACAGAUAGGCAAGCGUCUUGAGAGAACUUUGGCCCCCAUGACUCAAGAAGAUUACGUUGAUGCAGGGCGGGAAUGUGUUCUCAAGUGGCUGUGUGUGUACCUCAACGAAGACCCAGC